RNAcentral lists this ribosomal RNA (429 nucleotides) under Chloroflexota bacterium. RNAcentral's name for it is "Chloroflexi bacterium partial 16S ribosomal RNA". It matches the Rfam family "Bacterial small subunit ribosomal RNA", at positions 355 to 776 of the family's 1533-position model. Lineage: Bacteria; Bacillati; Chloroflexota. The record is from RNAcentral.
UGGGGAAUAUUGCACAAUGGGCGCAAGCCUGAUGCAGCCAUGCCGCGUGUGUGAAGAAGGCCUUCGGGUUGUAAAGUACUUUCAGCGGGGAGGAAGGGAGUAAAGUUAAUACCUUUGCUCAUUGACGUUACCCGCAGAAGAAGCACCGGCUAACUCCGUGCCAGCAGCCGCGGUAAUACGGAGGGUGCAAGCGUUAAUCGGAAUUACUGGGCGUAAAGCGCACGCAGGCGGUUUGUUAAGUCAGAUGUGAAAUCCCCGGGCUCAACCUGGGAACUGCAUCUGAUACUGGCAAGCUUGAGUCUCGUAGAGGGGGGUAGAAUUCCAGGUGUAGUGGUGAAAUGCGUAGAGAUCUGGAGGAAUACCGGUGGCGAAGGCGGCCCCCUGGACGAAGACUGACGCUCAGGUGCGAAAGCGUGGGGAGCAAACAGG